AUGGCAAUUGUACAUACAUACGGGAAACCUGACAUCUUCUUGACCAUGACUUGCAACCCUAAAUGGGAAGAGAUAACAAAUGAGUUGCUUCCCGGACAGACGGCGCAAGACCGACCUGAUAUUGUGGCUCGCGUGUUCUAUGGCAAACUAGAGGCUAUGAAAGAUAUGUUGCUCAAGAAGGGUCUGGGUGUUGUUGUUGCUUAUGUUUACGUAGUCGAGUUCCAGAAAAGAGGCCUC
Molecule: ribosomal RNA, 237 nt
Filed under: Triticum aestivum (bread wheat)
Lineage: Eukaryota; Viridiplantae; Streptophyta; Magnoliopsida; Poales; Poaceae
Description: partial small subunit ribosomal RNA
Source: RNAcentral